This 288-nucleotide long non-coding RNA is filed under the name Mytilus galloprovincialis (Mediterranean mussel). The record is from RNAcentral. Lineage: Eukaryota; Metazoa; Mollusca; Bivalvia; Mytilida; Mytilidae.
GUCAGAAAUGAAAGUGGCCGCAUCCGUGUUCAUCCCCAACCUUUAUAUAUGUUAUGUAUUAUCAUCAAAUACAACUUACAUUUCAAUAUUAAGGAUGAACACGAAUGCGGCCACUUUCGUUUUACACGGAAACCGUCUAGAAUUUAACUAAAAUGCUAGAAUUGUGAAGAUUUCAGUAAUUUAGCAUGACUAAAUGGUGUUAGUACUCGAUAUAUGUGCAUUGUAUUGUCAAAAACAGCCCAUAUUUAUGUAGCAGAAGCAUUCUACUGUCCAAUAAAUAGCUAAAAG